UACGUAGGUGGCAAGCGUUGUCCGGAUUUACUGGGCGUAAAGAGCGCGCAGGCGGUCGUUCAAGUCGCGUGUGAAAGCCCCCGGCUCAACUGGGGAGGGUCACGCGAUACUGAUCGACUCGAAGGCAGGAGAGGGAAGUGGAAUUCCCGGUGUAGUGGUGAAAUGCGUAGAUAUCGGGAAGAACACCGAUGGCGAAAGCACUCUGCUGGGCCGAAACUGACACUGAGAGACGAAAGCUAGGGGAGCGAAUGGG
This 253-nucleotide ribosomal RNA is filed under the name uncultured bacterium. RNAcentral describes it as "partial 16S ribosomal RNA". It matches the Rfam family "Bacterial small subunit ribosomal RNA", at positions 524 to 776 of the family's 1533-position model. The record is from RNAcentral.